RNAcentral lists this ribosomal RNA (548 nucleotides) under uncultured bacterium. RNAcentral describes it as "bacterial SSU rRNA". It matches the Rfam family "Bacterial small subunit ribosomal RNA", at positions 355 to 895 of the family's 1533-position model. The record is from RNAcentral.
UGGGGAAUAUUGCNCNAUGGGCGCAAGCNUGAUGCAGCCAUGCCGAGUGUGUGAAGAAGGCCUUCGGGUUGUAAAGCACUUUCAGCGGGGAGGAAGGCGGUGAGGUUAAUAACCUCACCGAUUGACGUUACCCGCAGAAGAAGCACCGGCUAACUCCGUGCCAGCAGCCGCGGUAAUACGGAGGGUGCAAGCGUUCAUCGGAAUUACUGGGCGUAAAGCGCACGCAGGCGGUCUUUCAAUUUGGAUGUGAAAUCCCCGGGUUCACCCUGGGAAAUGCAUUCGAAACUGGCAGGCUAGAGUCUCGUAGAGGGGGGUAGAAUUCCAGGUGUAGCGGUGAAAUGCCUAGAGAUCCGGAGGAAUACCGGUGGCGAAGGCGGCCCCCGGGACAAAGACUGACGUUCAGGUGCGAAAGCGUGGGGAGCAAACAGGCUUAGAUACCCUGGUAGUCCACGCUGUAAACGAUGUCGAUUUGGAGGUUGUGCCAUCGAGGAACGGUUUCCGGAGCUAACGCGUUAAAUCGACCGCCUGGGGAGUACGGCCGCAAGUCA